RNAcentral lists this transfer RNA (77 nucleotides) under Mariprofundus micogutta. RNAcentral's name for it is "tRNA-Arg". It matches the Rfam family "tRNA". From Rfam's summary of the family: Transfer RNA (tRNA) molecules are approximately 80 nucleotides in length. The record is from RNAcentral. Lineage: Bacteria; Pseudomonadati; Pseudomonadota; Candidatius Mariprofundia; Mariprofundales; Mariprofundaceae.
GCUCCCUUAGCUCAGCUGGAUAGAGUAUCUGACUUCGAAUCAGGUGGCCGGGAGUUCGAAUCUCUCAGGGAGCGCCA